GGCCGCUUGGUGAAAUUGGCAGACACGCCAGACUUAGGAUCUGGUGCCGAGAGGCGUCGGGGUUCAACUCCCCGAGCGGCCA
This 82-nucleotide transfer RNA is filed under the name Pirellula sp. RNAcentral's name for it is "tRNA-Leu". It matches the Rfam family "tRNA". From Rfam's summary of the family: Transfer RNA (tRNA) molecules are approximately 80 nucleotides in length. Their secondary structure includes four short double-helical elements and three loops (D, anti-codon, and T loops). Further hydrogen bonds mediate the characteristic L-shaped molecular structure. tRNAs have two regions of fundamental functional importance: the anti-codon, which is responsible for specific mRNA codon recognition, and the 3' end, to which the tRNAs corresponding amino acid is attached (by aminoacyl-tRNA synthetases). tRNAs cope with the degeneracy of the genetic code in two manners: having more than one tRNA (with a specific anti-codon) for a particular amino acid; and 'wobble' base-pairing, i.e. permitting non-standard base-pairing at the 3rd anti-codon position. Lineage: Bacteria; Pseudomonadati; Planctomycetota; Planctomycetia; Pirellulales; Pirellulaceae. The record is from RNAcentral. RNAcentral also lists the same sequence under 1 other name.